This 270-nucleotide unclassified non-coding RNA is filed under the name fungal sp. RNAcentral's name for it is "partial internal transcribed spacer region". The stretch from base 1 to 46 matches the Rfam family "Eukaryotic small subunit ribosomal RNA", at positions 1786 to 1831 of the family's 1831-position model. The record is from RNAcentral. Lineage: Eukaryota; Fungi.
AAGUCGUAACAAGGUUUCCGUAGGUGAACCUGCGGAAGGAUCAUUAAUGAAUGAAUGUAGAGUCGGUUGUAGCUGACCUCCUAGAGGUAUGUGCACGCCUUCUCUUUCAUCCACACACCCCUGUGCACUCGUGAGACAGAGGCAUUUGUUUUCCUUUAAUCGGGGAACGGGUCUCUGUCUACAUCACAUAAAAUCUAAUUUAUUUAAAACUGAAUGUAAUUGAUGUAACGCAUCUAAUACAAACUUUCAACAACGGAUCUCUUGGUUCUG